GCCUGAAGCAAAUACAAAGCACAGGACUUCUGAGCAUGGCAAGAGACCGUGAAGCAGCAGCACAGAGCACCAGUGAUAGGAUCUGACUGCCACCUGCAUGCUGUGUAAUGUGUAUCUUCCACAGAAAGAACAUUUUGCAGCUGCAAGAUGUAAGUACGUUAAGCCUAGAAUACCUGGAUGUUCUAAGGUGAGCUCACUGCUUUCUAAGCUGUAAAAAUGCUUAAUCCCUGUGUCACUUUAUAUUAUUUUGUAGUUAAUUUUGCGGUGGGUUGACAAAGGCACAUAACCAGGGGCAGAAUCUGGCCUAUCAUAUUUAUUAGGAUGCGAUUCCUCAACUAGACACUAUGGCCUCAUAAGGGCACAUCCUCUGCUUUGUUUUUAGUUCUGAAAUGUGAGGGAGUAGACCUUGUGUUACAAAGCAAUAAUUGCCAACUGUGUGACAAUUCUGUGUGAGAUACAUUAUUAUAACCUGCAGAUGCUACGACCAGUAUGAUUUAAGAACUUUGAACAAACCCAACUGACCAUUUAGCAAUAUAUUUUUGUCUGACUUUUUUGACUGAAACAUAGAUGGAAAGCUCUUUGGAGCAGGAAAUCAUCUCUUAUUUGAUAAUUAUAUGAAGCUCUGUUCCUAACUAAUGUUCUACUGAAAAUUUAUUAUAUUGUUUAAUGAUUUUUUAAAAACAGAAUAGUGCAAACACUGUUCAUAGCUUAUAUUAAGUUCUGAGGCUUAUUAAUUCUUGUUUAUACAUACCUUUCUUCUCUCUAAUUUUCUUCUUGUCUACAGUCACUUUUCUUUCAUCUUCGGUUAUUUUACCUCAUUAACUUUUUCUUCUUUUGCAGAAGCAGUAGAUUCUGCUCUGCUCAAAGGCAAACCUUUCUGCUGUGGUUUGCAGGGGACUGUUGCCAUGUAGGUCUUCACUUCCUGCUCAUUGUGUCUUUUGGUGCUUCUUGCAAUAAACUAAGGAUUAUGAUAUUCUUUAGUCAACUUUGUUUUUGUCUUUUGCAGUCCUUCGCUGCUAAGUAAGAAAGCCAAGAUUCUUUCACAAGCUCAAGAAGCAUAUUGCUGCUUUCCAAUAGCUUCCCUUCAUGUUCUUUUUCCUCAUUCUUCUGAAGAAUUUCUGCCUGAAGCACAGCUACAUUACACUCAUAAAACAGAUCAAGGUAUCAGCAUUCUCCAGUACUCCAACCACUCCAAUCACUGCUGUGUGAACAGCUGCGAGUGCAUUUUUUUAAUAUUUGCAACUAAAAAUACUUCUAUGCUUAAAAGUGUCUAGUUCUGCAAGCCUUCCUUGGCCAGGACACUUCUCAAAUAUUCAGUGAAAUUCUAAGCACAGUAGGACUCCAAAUUGAAAAUCAAAAUCUUGGGAAUGUACUUCAGGGGGUAAGAAACCAAAGCAAUAAAUAAACUUUGAGGGAAAAAAAUCCUUUUUGG
RNAcentral lists this long non-coding RNA (1432 nucleotides) under Junco hyemalis (dark-eyed junco). RNAcentral's name for it is "lncRNA (ENSJHYG00000010050.1)". Lineage: Eukaryota; Metazoa; Chordata; Aves; Passeriformes; Passerellidae. The record is from RNAcentral.